CAUUCCGGUCGUCCUUUUAUCUUCGGGGUUUCCCUUUUGCCCUUUAUGUUUCGAUGCCCUAAUUCCUGACGAGCGACGCUACCCCGCGAUCGCUCUCUCGCCCCCGAGGAUCACACCUUUGCCGUCGAUAUUACCUCUCCGUGGUGGCGAGCCCUCCAUUGCCGUCGCUUGCCAAGUGGUGCCUGUCUCUCUAGUGCGAUUAGCUUGUGAUUCCAUUCCUAGUAAUGGCAAGUUACUCAGGGAGAGGUGGACCAUCAAAUGGCUCUGUUUAUGUGUGUAAGUUGCCUCCUGGAACUGAUGAGACUAUGCUGGCCGAGUAUUUUGGCACCAUAGGGUUGCUAAAGAAGGAUAAAAGGACUGGUCGACCAAAAAUUUGGUUGUAUAGGGAUAAAACUACCAAUGAACCUAAGGGCGAUGCAACAGUUACAUAUGAGGACCCACAUGCAGCUCUCGCUGCUGUUGAAUGGUUCCACAACAAGGAUUUUCACGGAGUUCCCAUUGAAGUUUAUAUAGCAGAGUCAAAAACUAAAGACUCAAUUGAUAAUUCAACUCAGCAGGAUGGUUUUGAAGAAAAUCCAAUUAUGGAAGUUGGAGGGCAUGAUGAUCUGAAUGGUGCCGGAGGUAGAGGUAGAGGUCGUGCUGGUGCAUCAGGAAAAUCAUGGCAACAAGAUGGAGACUGGAUGUGUCCCAAUACAAGGUCUGUGGUAUGAUAUUGUUGUUCCAAUGUGAACUUUGCAUUCCGUGGUGUGUGUAACCGGUGUGGGACAGCUCGUCCUGCUGGUGUUGGUGGAACAGGUGCUGGUGGCGGUGGUCGAGGAAGGGGCCGAGGUAGUGGUGAUGCUGGAGGAGUUGCCCGUUCUGUUGGUGGUCCCACAGGGCUUUUUGGUCCAAAUGACUGGCCCUGUCCGAUGUGUGGCAACAUUAAUUGGGCAAAGCGCACAAAGUGCAAUAUAUGUAACACCAACAAGCCAGGUCACAAUGAGGGUGGUGUGAGGUAAUAUGAAUCAUGCAUAGAAUGGCCAUAUUGUAAGAACAUUUGAAACUUAUUAUUAUGGAUAUUAAAUGAUUUUUACAAUUUUUAUGUCUAUAUUUUACCCAACUGUUUAGCAUGUUGGAUAAGUUUAUAAACUGAAUUAUUCCUUGUUUGAUUUAUGUUAUAAUUCUUCAUACCAUGUGCUUGCUAAGCAUAACAGAACCGGAGUUGAUAAUGAUAAGCAUGCAAGCAUUGUUUUUCAGUUUGGCUUUAGUUAUGCUCCACUGAUAGUAAUAGUGACACAUGGAGACAGUCAUAUUUUCUUCUGAUGCCUGGGCAUUUAUGCCAUGCUUAUUUCUCGACCUGAAUGUAGAUGUUGUUGUAGCUUAAUUGAGAACCACUUAUGUAAUUUUGUUGAAGCAUUUUCUUGGUUCCAUUGCUUUAUUUGAUAGAGGAGGCCGUGCUGGAGGUUACAAAGAACUUGACGAAGAAGAAAUAGAAGAAACAAGGCGACGGAGAAGAGAAGCUGAAGAGGAUGAUGGAGAGAUAUAUGAUGAAUUUGGAAACCUUAAAAAGAAAUUUCGUGCAAAAACACAACAAGCUGAAGCUGGGCAAAUGGUUCCUGGCUCUGGCCGUGCUGGAUGGGAGGUUGAGGAGAUAGGUGUCUCCGAGAGACACGGUGGAGAGAAAAGCAAAGACCGUUACAGAGAUUUCAAUGAACGGGAAAGCAGCAAGAACCGGGAAAGAGAUGGUUCUGAGAGGGAGAGGGAGAGACGCAGGAGCCGAAGCAGAGAAAGGGAGAGGGAGCGUGAGAAGGAACGAGGGAGAGUCUCGGAUCGAGAUUAUGGAUAUGAAAGAGGUCGGGAACGUGGUAGGGACCGCCACCGAGACUGGUAGUGCUUUUGCCAAGGCUAGGUUUCUACUGCUGCGCAUGCCUUUAGUAUAUUGAAACUGUUUUGUGUCAUCUGUAGCUGGAAGCUUUGUUAAAAAUUUCUUGCUUGAACAUCCACUUUCUUCUUUCUGUUUCCCCCGCCCCCCCCUUUUUUCAUUUUACCAACUGAUGACAUCCUUUCAUAUCAACUUUUGAAGCAAAUGUUUUGAUUAUUCUAGUGAUUUGAGUGAUGCUAGACUAUUGCAAAAUGCAGGCGCUGAUAAAAAGCCAGCUUGUGAAAAGCUUUCUAGUUC
Molecule: non-coding RNA, 2158 nt
Organism: Musa acuminata subsp. malaccensis (wild Malaysian banana)
Lineage: Eukaryota; Viridiplantae; Streptophyta; Magnoliopsida; Zingiberales; Musaceae
Source: RefSeq, a predicted model, not a curated record